RNAcentral lists this ribosomal RNA (253 nucleotides) under uncultured bacterium. Its description in RNAcentral is "partial 16S ribosomal RNA". It matches the Rfam family "Bacterial small subunit ribosomal RNA", at positions 524 to 776 of the family's 1533-position model. The record is from RNAcentral.
UACGUAGGGAGCAAGCGUUGUCCGGAAUCAUUGGGCGUAAAGCGCGCGUAGGUGGCUUCGUAAGUCCGUUGUGAAAGUCAAAGGCUCAACCUUUGAAAGCCGAUGGAUACUGCGGAGCUAGAGUACGGAAGAGGCGAGUGGAAUUCCUGGUGUAGCGGUGGAAUGCGCAGAUAUCAGGAGGAACACCAACGGCGAAGGCAGCUCGCUGGGACGGUACUGACGCUAAGGCGCGAAAGCGUGGGGAGCGAACAGG